UAUUCUGUUCGUGGGGGAUAACGUAGGGAAACUUACGGCUAAUACCGCAUACGACCUACGGGUGAAAGCAGGGGAUCUUCGGACCUUGCGCGAUUGAAUGAGCCGAUGUCGGAUUAGCUAGUUGGCGGGGUAAGGGCCCACCAAGGCGACGAUCCGUAGCUGGUCUGAGAGGAUGAUCAGCCACACUGGAACUGAGACACGGUCCAGACUCCUACGGGAGGCAGCAGUGGGGAAUAUUGGACAAUGGGCGCAAGCCUGAUCCAGCCAUACCGCGUGGGUGAAGAAGGCCUUCGGGUUGUAAAGCCCUUUUGUUGGGAAAGAAAUCCAGCCGGCUAAUACCUGGUUGGGAUGACGGUACC
RNAcentral lists this ribosomal RNA (359 nucleotides) under uncultured bacterium. RNAcentral's name for it is "bacterial SSU rRNA". It matches the Rfam family "Bacterial small subunit ribosomal RNA", at positions 126 to 479 of the family's 1533-position model. The record is from RNAcentral.